GACGUUGCAACGAAAUUCAUACAAUACAAUCCCCCAAUUUCAACCACGUAAGAUUAGAGCUAGUGCGCUUCCCUUUCCAACCAUCCUUAGUCAUUUGGGCCUCCCGAGGCACGUGCCCAGGGAAAUUUAAAAAAAAUAAAUUAAAAUAAGGUGAAAAGGAAGAAAAUGUGUCAUUUCAGAAUUCAGAUUAUGUGAGAUUCUCUCAAUGGCUUUCAUUCUCAUUCUCUCCUAAAAGAUCAAAACCCAAAAAUCCCUAAAACUUGUAAUUCGGCCUCCAUUUCCACCGGUUCCAUAAUCUACCUCCACUGCCGUCUGCCUCCUGCCUCCUGCCUCCUGCCUCCUGCCACUGCCACUGCCGAAGCCUACCACCAGUAGUGAGCCGCUCCUGUCCGGCUAUGAGCUGUCCCCGAAAAUCAGAAUUUUGAUUUUUGAAGAUAUUUUAAAUCUUAAUCUUAUUCUUAAAUAAUCCUCCAUCAUCUUUUCCUUCCUCUCAACAUGAAAAGAAAGAAAGUGAAACUAAUUUAAAAGCUCAUGUGAUGUUGUUGAUAACGGUGCCUCCAACUUGAGUCUCAUAAAUGGGGAAGAUGAAUCAAGGACUGAAAUUGAUGUGAGGGAGACACUGGCCAACGCCGAGUCGAUGUUGGUGGUGUAUGUGAUGCAGCCGAGUCGUCGUGGUUCAUUGUGAUUGAAGGAGUUUUCCGGUGAAUAAAGCCGAGUCGGCGUCCAUGGCUUGUGAAGGACAGCCGACUCGGCGGUAGGUUCUGCCAAGUUGCACAUUUUGUCCAGAACGUGAAGGCGACUCGGCGACUGGGGUCAUUUUGUGCCAGCGACCCCAGCCGAGUUGGCGGCAGUUGCAUUUUGCACUUGAGCAGUUUUUCUUCUUAUUUUGGCCGAUUACUUGUUUUGUAAGCAAUAACACAUCUUUUAUUGGGGAUUUAUAUAAAAACCCCCUUUUUAGGAUUAGAGUUUUCAUCACAAAUGAAGAGACAAAAGUGAGCCAUUAGAGAGAAUUUGUGAUUCAUCUUUGUAAAUCUUCAAGUUCAUAGUGAAAUUGCUCAUUUUCUGUGCCGGUGGAUGUAGCUAUUACAUUGACAGUGAAUCACGUUAAUUCUUCGGUGUUAUUUCUUAUUGUUUGCAUUGAAUUUCAUUAUUGUUU
This is a long non-coding RNA of Amaranthus tricolor (Joseph's coat), 1156 nucleotides long. RefSeq lists it as uncharacterized. The transcript has 2 exons. The record is from RefSeq and is a predicted model, not a curated record. Lineage: Eukaryota; Viridiplantae; Streptophyta; Magnoliopsida; Caryophyllales; Amaranthaceae.